This 1707-nucleotide ribosomal RNA is filed under the name Salmonella enterica subsp. enterica serovar Anatum. Its description in RNAcentral is "partial 23S ribosomal RNA". It matches the Rfam family "Bacterial large subunit ribosomal RNA", at positions 1252 to 2925 of the family's 2925-position model. The record is from RNAcentral. Lineage: Bacteria; Pseudomonadati; Pseudomonadota; Gammaproteobacteria; Enterobacterales; Enterobacteriaceae.
GAAGGUGGCCUGUGAGGGUUGCUGGAGGUAUCAGAAGUGCGAAUGCUGACAUAAGUAACGAUAAAGCGGGUGAAAAGCCCGCUCGCCGGAAGACCAAGGGUUCCUGUCCAACGUUAAUCGGGGCAGGGUGAGUCGACCCCUAAGGCGAGGCCGAAAGGCGUAGUCGAUGGGAAACGGGUUAAUAUUCCCGUACUUGGUGUUACUGCGAAGGGGGGACGGAGAAGGCUAUGUUGGCCGGGCGACGGUUGUCCCGGUUUAAGCGUGUAGGCUGGUUUUCCAGGCAAAUCCGGUUCACUUUAAAACUGAGGCGUGAUGACGAGGCACUACGGUGCUGAAGCAACAAAUGCCCUGCUUCCAGGAAAAGCCUCUAAGCAUCAGGUAACAUCAAAUCGUACCCCAAACCGACACAGGUGGUCAGGUAGAGAAUACCAAGGCGCUUGAGAGAACUCGGGUGAAGGAACUAGGCAAAAUGGUGCCGUAACUUCGGGAGAAGGCACGCUGACACGUAGGUGAAGUGAUUUACUCAUGGAGCUGAAGUCAGUCGAAGAUACCAGCUGGCUGCAACUGUUUAUUAAAAACACAGCACUGUGCAAACACGAAAGUGGACGUAUACGGUGUGACGCCUGCCCGGUGCCGGAAGGUUAAUUGAUGGGGUCAGCGCAAGCGAAGCUCCUGAUCGAAGCCCCGGUAAACGGCGGCCGUAACUAUAACGGUCCUAAGGUAGCGAAAUUCCUUGUCGGGUAAGUUCCGACCUGCACGAAUGGCGUAAUGAUGGCCAGGCUGUCUCCACCCGAGACUCAGUGAAAUUGAACUCGCUGUGAAGAUGCAGUGUACCCGCGGCAAGACGGAAAGACCCCGUGAACCUUUACUAUAGCUUGACACUGAACAUUGAGCCUUGAUGUGUAGGAUAGGUGGGAGGCUUUGAAGUGUGGACGCCAGUCUGCAUGGAGCCGACCUUGAAAUACCACCCUUUAAUGUUUGAUGUUCUAACGUGGACCCGUGAUCCGGGUUGCGGACAGUGUCUGGUGGGUAGUUUGACUGGGGCGGUCUCCUCCUAAAGAGUAACGGAGGAGCACGAAGGUUGGCUAAUCCUGGUCGGACAUCAGGAGGUUAGUGCAAUGGCAUAAGCCAGCUUGACUGCGAGCGUGACGGCGCGAGCAGGUGCGAAAGCAGGUCAUAGUGAUCCGGUGGUUCUGAAUGGAAGGGCCAUCGCUCAACGGAUAAAAGGUACUCCGGGGAUAACAGGCUGAUACCGCCCAAGAGUUCAUAUCGACGGCGGUGUUUGGCACCUCGAUGUCGGCUCAUCACAUCCUGGGGCUGAAGUAGGUCCCAAGGGUAUGGCUGUUCGCCAUUUAAAGUGGUACGCGAGCUGGGUUUAGAACGUCGUGAGACAGUUCGGUCCCUAUCUGCCGUGGGCGCUGGAGAACUGAGGGGGGCUGCUCCUAGUACGAGAGGACCGGAGUGGACGCAUCACUGGUGUUCGGGUUGUCAUGCCAAUGGCACUGCCCGGUAGCUAAAUGCGGAAGAGAUAAGUGCUGAAAGCAUCUAAGCACGAAACUUGCCCCGAGAUGAGUUCUCCCUGAGACUUAGAGUCUCCUGAAGGAACGUUGAAGACGACGACGUUGAUAGGCCGGGUGUGUAAGCGCAGCGAUGCGUUGAGCUAACCGGUACUAAUGAACCGUGAGGCUUAACCUUACAACGCCGAAG